RNAcentral lists this ribosomal RNA (1439 nucleotides) under uncultured organism. RNAcentral's name for it is "16S ribosomal RNA". It matches the Rfam family "Bacterial small subunit ribosomal RNA". The record is from RNAcentral.
GCUUAACACAUGCAAGUCGAGGGGCAGCAUGGUCUUAGCUUGCUAAGGCCGAUGGCGACCGGCGCACGGGUGAGUAACGCGUAUCCAACCUGCCUUACACUCUUGGACAGCCUUCUGAAAGGGAGAUUAAUACAAGAUGUUAUCAUGAGUAAGCAUUUUCGCAUGAUUAAAGGUUUACCGGUGUAAGAUGGGGAUGCGUUCCAUUAGAUAGUAGGCGGGGUAACGGCCCACCUAGUCUUCGAUGGAUAGGGGUUCUGAGAGGAAGGUCCCCCACAUUGGAACUGAGACACGGUCCAAACUCCUACGGGAGGCAGCAGUGAGGAAUAUUGGUCAAUGGACGAGAGUCUGAACCAGCCAAGUAGCGUGAAGGAUGAAGGUUCUAUGGAUUGUAAACUUCUUUUAUACGGGAAUAAACGGAUCCACGUGUGGAUUUUUGCAUGUACCGUAUGAAUAAGGAUCGGCUAACUCCGUGCCAGCAGCCGCGGUAAUACGGAGGAUCCGAGCGUUAUCCGGAUUUAUUGGGUUUAAAGGGAGCGUAGAUGGGUUGUUAAGUCAGUUGUGAAAGUUUGCGGCUCAACCGUAAAAUUGCAAUUGAUACUGGCAGUCUUGAGUACAGUUGAGGUAGGCGGAAUUCGUGGUGUAGCGGUGAAAUGCUUAGAUAUCACGAAGAACUCCGAUUGCGAAGGCAGCUUACUAACCUGUAACUGACAUUGAUGCUCGAAAGUGUGGGUAUCAAACAGGAUUAGAUACCCUGGUAGUCCACACGGUAAACGAUGAAUACUCGCUGUAGGCGAUAUACAGUCUGCGGCCAAGCGAAAGCAUUAAGUAUUCCACCUGGGGAGUACGCCGGCAACGGUGAAACUCAAAGGAAUUGACGGGGGCCCGCACAAGCGGAGGAACAUGUGGUUUAAUUCGAUGAUACGCGAGGAACCUUACCCGGGCUUAAAUUGCAACCGAAUAUGGCGGAAACGCUAUAGCUAGCAAUAGCGGUUGUGAAGGUGCUGCAUGGUUGUCGUCAGCUCGUGCCGUGAGGUGUCGGCUUAAGUGCCAUAACGAGCGCAACCCUUGCCGAUAGUUACUAACAGGUCAUGCUGAGGACUCUGUCGGGACUGCCAUCGUAAGAUGUGAGGAAGGUGGGGAUGACGUCAAAUCAGCACGGCCCUUACGUCCGGGGCUACACACGUGUUACAAUGGGGGGUACAGAGGGCUGCUACCACGCAAGUGGAUGCCAAUCCCAAAAACCUCUCUCAGUUCGGAUUGAAGUCUGCAACCCGACUUCAUGAAGCUGGAUUCGCUAGUAAUCGCGCAUCAGCCACGGCGCGGUGAAUACGUUCCCGGGCCUUGUACACACCGCCCGUCAAGCCAUGGGAGCCGGGGGUACCUGAAGUGCGUAACCGCAAGGAGCGCCCUAGGGUAAAACUGGUGACUGGGGCUAAGUC